GGAGAUGUGCCUGAAUGUUCAAGGACCACUUUGAUAGAGUGACACACGAAGGUUAAAAUCCUUCCAUCUCCU
Molecule: transfer RNA, 72 nt
Filed under: Citharinus congicus (Congo citharin)
Lineage: Eukaryota; Metazoa; Chordata; Actinopteri; Characiformes; Citharinidae
Description: tRNA-Ile
Rfam family: tRNA
About the family: Transfer RNA (tRNA) molecules are approximately 80 nucleotides in length. Their secondary structure includes four short double-helical elements and three loops (D, anti-codon, and T loops).
Source: RNAcentral